Molecule: ribosomal RNA, 420 nt
Filed under: uncultured bacterium
Lineage: Bacteria
Description: bacterial SSU rRNA
Rfam family: Bacterial small subunit ribosomal RNA
Source: RNAcentral
GAGGAAUAUUGGGCAAUGCCCGCAAGGGUGACCCAGCAACGCCGCGUGGAGGAUGAAUGCCGUAAGGUUGUAAACUCCUGUUAGAGGGGACGAAUGAUUCCGAUUGUAUCGGAAGUUGACUGUACCCUCAGAGAAAGCCCCGGCUAACUACGUGCCAGCAGCCGCGGUAAUACGUAGGGGGCAAGCGUUGUCCGGAUUUACUGGGUGUAAAGGGCGCGCAGGUGGGCUUGAUAGUUAGAGGUGAAAUCCUGUGGCUUAACUGCAGAACUGCCUUUAAUACUUCAAGUCUUGAGUGCGGAAGAGAGAGACGGAAUUCCAGGUGUAGUAGUGAAAUACGUAGAUAUCUGGAAGAACACCAGUUGCGAAGGCGGUCUCUUGGUCCGUAACUGACACUUAGGCGCGAAAGCGUGGGGAGCAAAC